CCUACGGGGGGCUGCAGUGGGGAAUAUUGGGCAAUGGGCGCAAGCCUGACCCAGCAACGCCGCGUGAAGGAAGAAGGCUUUCGGGUUGUAAACUUCUUUUGACAGGGAAGAGCAGAAGACGGUACCUGUCGAAUAAGCCACGGCUAACUACGUGCCAGCAGCCGCGGUAAUACGUAGGUGGCAAGCGUUGUCCGGAUUUACUGGGUGUAAAGGGCGUGUAGCCGGGCUGACAAGUCAGAUGUGAAAUCCGGGGGCUCAACCCUCGAACUGCAGUUGAAACUGUUGGUCUUGAGUAUCGGAGAGGCAGGCGGAAUGCCUGGUGUAGCGGUGAAAUGCGUAGAUAUUAGGAGGAACACCAGUGGCGAAGGCAGCCUGCUGGACGACAACUGACGGUGAGGCGCGAAAGCGUGGGGAGCAAACAGGAUUAGAUACCCGAGUAGUC
RNAcentral lists this ribosomal RNA (442 nucleotides) under uncultured bacterium. RNAcentral describes it as "partial 16S ribosomal RNA". It matches the Rfam family "Bacterial small subunit ribosomal RNA", at positions 338 to 795 of the family's 1533-position model. The record is from RNAcentral.